This 458-nucleotide ribosomal RNA is filed under the name Enterobacter asburiae. Its description in RNAcentral is "partial 23S ribosomal RNA". It matches the Rfam family "Bacterial large subunit ribosomal RNA", at positions 2259 to 2716 of the family's 2925-position model. RNAcentral also lists the same sequence under 3 other names. The record is from RNAcentral. Lineage: Bacteria; Pseudomonadati; Pseudomonadota; Gammaproteobacteria; Enterobacterales; Enterobacteriaceae.
UGGUGGGUAGUUUGACUGGGGCGGUCUCCUCCCAAAGAGUAACGGAGGAGCACGAAGGUUAGCUAAUCCUGGUCGGACAUCAGGAGGUUAGUGCAAUGGCAUAAGCUAGCUUGACUGCGAGAGUGACGGCUCGAGCAGGUGCGAAAGCAGGUCAUAGUGAUCCGGUGGUUCUGAAUGGAAGGGCCAUCGCUCAACGGAUAAAAGGUACUCCGGGGAUAACAGGCUGAUACCGCCCAAGAGUUCAUAUCGACGGCGGUGUUUGGCACCUCGAUGUCGGCUCAUCACAUCCUGGGGCUGAAGUAGGUCCCAAGGGUAUGGCUGUUCGCCAUUUAAAGUGGUACGCGAGCUGGGUUUAGAACGUCGUGAGACAGUUCGGUCCCUAUCUGCCGUGGGCGCUGGAGAAUUGAGGGGGGCUGCUCCUAGUACGAGAGGACCGGAGUGGACGCAUCACUGGUGUU